This 236-nucleotide unclassified non-coding RNA is filed under the name uncultured Tetracladium. RNAcentral's name for it is "sequence contains ITS1". The stretch from base 1 to 46 matches the Rfam family "Eukaryotic small subunit ribosomal RNA", at positions 1786 to 1831 of the family's 1831-position model. Lineage: Eukaryota; Fungi; Ascomycota. The record is from RNAcentral.
AAGUCGUAACAAGGUUUCCGUAGGUGAACCUGCGGAAGGAUCAUUACCGAGUUCAUGCCCUUCGGGGUAGAUCUCCCACCCUUUGUAUACUAUACCUUUGUUGCUUUGGCGGGCCGCCUAGCUACUGGCUUCGGCUGGUAAGUGCCCGCCAGAGAACCCAAAACCCUGCAUUAUUAGUGUCGUCUGAGUAAAAUAUUUAAUAUUUAAAACUUUCAACAACGGAUCUCUUGGCUCUG